RNAcentral lists this unclassified non-coding RNA (221 nucleotides) under Hevea brasiliensis (rubber tree). Lineage: Eukaryota; Viridiplantae; Streptophyta; Magnoliopsida; Malpighiales; Euphorbiaceae. The record is from RNAcentral.
UGGAAAUAGAGAAAAGUGGGGAUGUGGUUACUGAAGUGGAAGCUGCAGUUCCAUCUGAAGGUUUUUGUGAGUCGGAAGAUUCAAAGUCCAAUAUACAGGAAACUAUUCUGCCUUCUGAAACUGAAGAUAAUUUGGUAACUUAUGAUGCAGAUGACUUUAAGUUUCAGGAACACCAUCUAACCUCUUCUUUAGUAGGAGAUAAUUCAGAGCAGCCUCAGCCC